Molecule: long non-coding RNA, 299 nt
Organism: Bufo gargarizans (Asiatic toad)
Lineage: Eukaryota; Metazoa; Chordata; Amphibia; Anura; Bufonidae
Exons: 4
Source: RefSeq, a predicted model, not a curated record
AGAAAAAAAAAAAAGAAAGACAUCUGCGGUGGGGAAGCCCAUAUCCAUAUUUUAAAAAAUGUCAUCUAAGAAGACAACCAUAGACUGGCGUAACCCACCCAGAAGGCGCCGCCGUAUCCAGUGGCCCAUGUCUUCAUCAUCUUCAGCGGAGGGCUCUCCGGAAGUGGCUGCCGGGGCCAGCUCACCUGCUGCAUCGCCAGCGUCCAGGGGAGGUGGACCAAGCCCGGACCGGGGCUGUCAAGAACAAUCUGCACCUAGAGCCGCCAGCGAGGAUCCCCCAGUCGCCUCCAGAGUCCGCG